Molecule: ribosomal RNA, 484 nt
Filed under: uncultured bacterium
Lineage: Bacteria
Description: partial 16S ribosomal RNA
Rfam family: Bacterial small subunit ribosomal RNA
Source: RNAcentral
GACGAACGCUGGCGGCGUGCUUAACACAUGCAAGUCGAACGAUGAAGCCGGAGCUUGCUCUGGUGAAUUAGUGGCGAACGGGUGAGUAACACGUGAGUAACCUGCCCUUGACUCUGGGAUAACUGCGGGAAACUGUAGCUAAUACCGGAUACGACCCUCGGAGGCAUCUCCUGGGGGUGGAAAGAAUUUCGGUCAAGGAUGGACUCGCGGCCUAUCAGCUAGUUGGUGUGGUAAAGGCUCACCAAGGCGACGACGGGUAGCCGGCCGGAGAGGGUGACCGGCCACACUGGGACUGAGACACGGCCCAGACUCCUACGGGAGGCAGCAGUGGGGAAUAUUGCACAAUGGGCGCAAGCCUGAUGCAGCAACGCCGCGUGAGGGAUGACGGCCUUCGGGUUGUAAACCUCUUUUAGCAGGGAAGAAGCGAAAGUGACGGUACCUGCAGAAAAAGCACCGGCUAACUACGUGCCAGCAGCCGCAGUAA